Molecule: RNA transcript, 1242 nt
Organism: Humulus lupulus (European hop)
Lineage: Eukaryota; Viridiplantae; Streptophyta; Magnoliopsida; Rosales; Cannabaceae
Gene name: ubiquitin carboxyl-terminal hydrolase 9-like
Exons: 8
Source: RefSeq, a predicted model, not a curated record
GCUCUAGUGUAGCCAUUUCUUCUGUGUACAGGUCAGAAGAAAGUAUAGACAACACUAUAGAAGUUGGACAAGGAAGUUUGAAGCUAAUUUAUUCAGCUCGUGAUGGAAAGCUUUCACACUAUGCUAACAACAGAAAUUUGAUUACAGCAUCUACAGAACAGUCAUACAGUUAUUACAGUGGAAAUGAUGGAACUGAUAAAGAUCCAUAGGCUUCUGGAGCAUAUGUCUUUCGUCCAAAUGGCACAUUUCCAAUCAAAUUCGAUAGCCAGGCUUCUCUAACUAUGGUUCGAGGUCCGGUACUGGAUGAAGAACACCAACGGCUCAAUCCAUGGAUAUCUUAGAUUGAUGUAGGCAUUGGAUCUUCAUCAUUUACAAAAUCACAGGGCCCGAAAUGACUCAUUGAUAGUGGAUGUUUGCCAGGGUCAAUAUAAGUCGACACUGGUUUGCCCAGCAUGUGGAAAGAUUUCAGUCACUUUUGAUCCCUUCAUGUAUUUGUCGUUGCCGCUACCUUCAACUGCAACUCGGCAAAUAACCGUGACUGUGUUUUACGGCGAUGGAAGUGGUCUUCCUAUGCUAUACACUGUUAGUUUGCUAAAGCAAGGUUGCUGUAAAGAUCUUAGUGAACAACUAAGUACUGCUUGUUGCUUGAAUGUUGAUGAGAUUCUUCUGCUUGCAGAGGUUUAUGAACAUAAGAUUUUUCGAUAUUUGGAAAACCACUCAGAGCUAUUGGCUCCAAUUAAGGAGGAUGACCACUUAUAGACUUUCUAAAAAUGUUGUGGGAAGAUCCAGAGUUGAAAUAAUUCAUCGACCACAUGAAAAGUGCCCGUCAGACAGUGUUAAGGGUUGUCAGGGAAAGCUUAUCGGUACCCCUUUUGUUACUUAUUUAAAAGAGCCAAUAUGUGGAGCCAAUGUUGAAGCCGGUGUUACUAGAUUGUUGUCACCUUUGAAGAGAACGCGUCCUUCAGUUAAGCUCCAGAAUGGUAAGGAAAAUGGAUUUGAAAAAGAGGUUAUUGAAGAACCAUCAAACAGCUACAAUUCUAAGAACCUGUCAAUGGAUGAUGCAGAAGUAGAGGAAAAAUCCAGCGAAGCGUUAUUUCUGUGUUGAAAGUAGUAAAUUUUAGACUCCUUGAAUACUUAAAGAAUAUUUUGUUGUUGAUGACAAUGUUGCAUGUUUUAAAUUAAAUUGUGGAUUGUUAAUUCAAUGUAGAAUGUUUUUAUUUUUUGUUAUUUGAAAAUCAAGUU